RNAcentral lists this ribosomal RNA (119 nucleotides) under Saimiri boliviensis boliviensis (Bolivian squirrel monkey). Lineage: Eukaryota; Metazoa; Chordata; Mammalia; Primates; Cebidae. The record is from RNAcentral.
GUCUAUGGCUAUACCACCCUGAACGUGCCCGAUCUCAUCUGAUCUCGGAAGCUAAGCAGGGUCGGGCCUGGUUAAUACUUGGAUGGGAGACCUUCUGGGAAUAACGGGUGCCAUACGCU